Molecule: ribosomal RNA, 301 nt
Filed under: uncultured bacterium
Lineage: Bacteria
Description: partial 16S ribosomal RNA
Rfam family: Bacterial small subunit ribosomal RNA
Source: RNAcentral
CAGUCGCCGCGGUAAUGCGUAGGGUGCAAGCGUUAAUCGGAAUUACUGGGCGUAAAGCGUGCGCAGGCGGUUUGUUAAGACAGAUGUGAAAUCCCCGGGCUCAACCUGGGAACUGCAUUUGUGACUGGCAGGCUAGAGUAUGGCAGAGGGGGGUGGAAUUCCGCGUGUAGCAGUGAAAUGCGUAGAUAUGCGGAGGAACACCGAUGGCGAAGGCAGCCCCCUGGGCCAAUACUGACGCUCAUGCACGAAAGCGUGGGGAGCAAACAGGAUUAGAUACCCCGGUAGUCCCUGUCUCUUAUAC